Molecule: ribosomal RNA, 2253 nt
Filed under: Triticum aestivum (bread wheat)
Lineage: Eukaryota; Viridiplantae; Streptophyta; Magnoliopsida; Poales; Poaceae
Description: partial small subunit ribosomal RNA
Source: RNAcentral
AUGUCGGCCAGCUCGACGAGACUGAACGACUUGUGCCCUGACCGGACCCAGUCGCACUAUUCCUGUGGAAGGAAUCUUUCUACUAAAGCUAGCAGGCUGUGGCAUGCAACCUACCUGCUAGCUGCUAUGCCUACUACAACCCAGCCUGACCUAUUUGUGUCAAAUUGCCUUACCCUGCCGCCGCAAGCGGCCUGCUGCUGGGUAGGGGCUGCCGUCGCACCUUUUCGCAAAAUCGUCCCUCGCUGCAACAAAACAUUGCCCCGACGCGGCGCCUACCUAGGGGCCCGAAUCCCCUUCAUUGCUGAGAGAGCUCGAUUAGCAUUUCAGCUAGCUAGAUCGAUGGGGGUGGGAUACCUCACAGUUCAGGAAUGCAACUCUGAUGAAUCGGAGAUCUUCGCUAAGCACUUCACUGGGUCGGUGUUCCGAGUGAAUGCCCUCCUUGUAGUGAACGCCGUCCUGAUGGGAGUCAUGGUUGUCAUAGGCGCAUACGAUCGCUAUCGCAGCCAUCCAUUGACCCGCUACAUUUUCUUGGGUGCCACUGCAUUGUUCAUUCCCAUAAUCUCCUAUGUCCUAUCUGACAUUGGUAAUCAGAAUGGCCUUAUCCUUUUUGCCGAUGGAGAAAAGAUAAUAGGCCGCCUGUGCAAUUCAAGUUUCCACAUGAAUCUAGUCUUAAUCUGGACUGGUCUUGUUCAAAUGGUUGGUAUCAGCACCACUUUGGUAGUGGUCAGUGAUCCUAGAGAAGGGCGAAACAUUGGCCCAUCUGGGGUACUACUUGUGCAGGCAAUGUGGACUUCCUAUCUUAUGUUCUAUAACAUAGGGUUGAAGUAUCAUGUACCAUACGAGGACCUCUAUAUUGCUUCUGAUAUCAUCAACAUCAACAUUGAGUGGUCUCUGGUAUACGGAUUUUCUCUAGCAAGUUUGGUGAUUAUCCCACCAUUCGCUCUCACCUUUGCAAAGCUAUUUUUCAAGUGUUUUGCAUGGUACAAGGCCAGAAAAUCACUAGCAAUUGGAUGCAAUCCUCGUCUUAUUGUUGGAUACAUGGAGCAGCUACAAGAUGAUCCUGACAUCAUUACAAAUGAUUAUCGGGAUAUACCUCCUCCGCUAAUAGUAAUGGGCGAAGGCACGAUAUCUGUGGACAAGCAGCCCCAUGGUUAUAGCUUCGCACUGAUGCCCAAUAGAGGCGGCUUAGUGACCCUUGAUAAAGUUUGGCAGCUGGAUGACAUGCAUGAUCUCAAGUUGACAUCACAUCUCAAAGAUGUAUGCCUCUCCUUCGCAUUGUCCAAGCUUUUAAGGUGUCGGUUCGCCAGGUACACAAAUGCUGAGAUUGGCUUCACCAAAGCUUCUAGCUUUUUACGGCAUUUGUUACUGGAUGAUAGGGACGAUGGGAGGGUACUUCGAGUGACUGAAUAUGAGCUUUCUUUUCUUCAUGACUUUUACUAUUCAUCCCUCGCAAUCUCAUAUUCAAAGAGCUGGAUGCUGAUAGACAAGAUGAACCAAUGUUCAAUACUGGUGCUACACCCAAGGAAUACUCCAAUGGGACUGCUUUGUCGUCUUAAACCUGGUCAGAAGGUCAAGGUGCCAAGAGCGGUGAAGGCUUCUAUCAUGAAUGCACUGAGAAGCUACGAGAGAAGCCGAGACAAUAACCACAUGCCAUCACUGUGCACAAGGCCGCAGUUGAAGACCAGUGACAACCUCCUUUGGGUGGUUGAUGGCACAAAAGGCAUAGCCAAUACCAUUCUGGUGUGCCACAUCGCCACAAACAUUCUUGAACUCAGGUCAGCUGGCUCAUGUCAACCUCCCUCUGACCAUAAGACCGCUGCCAUUCACCUGUCCCGAUACUGCGCCUACUUGGUAGCCAACUCUCCUGAGCUGCUUCCAGAGGAUGACGAGUGGUGCAAGAGCUUGUACAAGACAGUCAAGAAGAAGGCCGAGCACAUCCUUGCCGGAGUGUCAACAGCUGAAGUGGAGUAUCAGCAGUUGGUGAGGCUGAUGAGCGCUUCACAGAAUCAUGAGGUGCUCAAGGAUGGUGCCAAGCUCGGACAACAGUUGGCGGAGCUAAACCAAGGAGAGACCAGCACGGCAUGGGAGCUCCUCGCCGGCUUUUGGUCGGAGAUGAUGCUGUACAUUGCUCCAUCAGACAACAUUGACGGUCACUCGGAGGCCAUCGCCCGCGGUGGCGAGCUCAUAACGCUCAUAUGGGCAUUGCUCGCACACCUGGGGAUUUCCGGUAGAGCCAAUGACCCGGACAGGUGA